ACUCCUACGGGAGGCAGCAGUAGGGGAAUAUUGGUCAAUGGGCGGAAGCCUGAACCAGCCAUGCCGCGUGCAGGAAGACGGCCCUCUGGGUUGUAAACUGCUUUUAUACGGGAAGAAAAUGGCCUUGCGAGGCAAAUUGACGGUACCGUAGGAAUAAGCCACGGCUAACUACGUGCCAGCAGCCGCGGUAAUACGUAGGUGGCGAGCGUUAUCCGGAUUUAUUGGGUUUAAAGGGUCCGCAGGCGGACGUAUAAGUCAGUGGUUGAAAGCCUACAGCUUAACUAGUCAGAACUGCCAUUGAUACUGUAUGUCUUGAAUUCGGUCGAAGUGGGCGGAAUGUGUCAUGUAGCGGUGAAAUGCAUAGAUAUGACACAGAACACCGAUAGCGAAGGCAGCUCACUAGGCCUGAAUUGACGCUCAGGGACGAAAGCGUGGGGAGCGAACAGGAUUAGAU
This 454-nucleotide ribosomal RNA is filed under the name uncultured bacterium. Its description in RNAcentral is "bacterial SSU rRNA". It matches the Rfam family "Bacterial small subunit ribosomal RNA", at positions 335 to 783 of the family's 1533-position model. The record is from RNAcentral.